This 730-nucleotide ribosomal RNA is filed under the name Osteopilus crucialis. Its description in RNAcentral is "partial 12S ribosomal RNA". The record is from RNAcentral. Lineage: Eukaryota; Metazoa; Chordata; Amphibia; Anura; Hylidae.
UGGUCCUAACCUUGAAAUCAAUUUUUACUUAAUUUACAUACAAGUCUCCGCACUCCUCUGAAAACGCCCUUCAAGCCCCACUAGGACUAAGGAACUGGUAUCAGGCACAAAUUUUGGCCCAAGACACCUAGCUAUGCCACACCCACACGGAAAUUCAACAGUAAUUAACAUUGAGGAUAAGUGAUAACGACUCAGUUAAAGUAAAAGCCGGCAAAUCUGGUGCCAUAAUUAGAUACCCCACUAUGCUCAACCGUAAACUUUAAGUUACAUACAUAUCGCCAGGGAACUACGAGUAAAACUUAAAACCCAAGGGACUUGACGGCACCCCACAUCCACCUAGAGGAGCCUGUCCUAUAAUCGACAACCCCCGCUUAACCUCACCAUUUUUAGCCUAUCAGCCUGUAUACUUCCGUCGUCAGCUUACCACGUGAACGACUUAGUGAGCUUAAUGUCCAUACGCCAAUACGUCAGGUCAAGGUGCAGCAAAUAAAAUGGGAAGAGAUGGGCUACACUUUCUACCCUAGAAAAUACGAAAAACUACUUAUGAAACCUAAUCAGAAGGCGGAUUUAGAAGUAAAAAGAGACAAGAGAGCUUUUUAACAUAGCACUGAGGCGUGUACACACCACCCGUCACCCCCUUCAAAGCUAACAAAAAGUACUUAACACAACAAAGCACUAAAGAAGAGGCAAGUCGUAACAUGGUAAGUAUACCGGAAGAUAUGCUUGGAAA